AUGAGGGAGGGGGGCGCCGCGACAAUUACAAAGGGCAAAGCAAAGAUGUUAAAUACCUUACCGAGGCGAGCGGAGCCAGCUCCGUCCAGCCCAGGGCCGGAGGUUCUAGACCUUGCCUUGCCACAGCCCUCGGGGAUGCCCCUCCCCGGGCGCCUUCAGGGAGCCCCCAGCCCCGAAGCUCCUCCAGCUGGUCCCCGGGCCCUUGUGGCUGUUUUCCCUCUGCCCGCCACCCGGGGCAGGAGCCUCCCGGCCAGCGAGAGCCGCCGCCUCGCCCACCCCGGCCAGCCUCAGGGGAGCUCUCAGCGCCCCCUCUACCCCUGCCUCGGGACCAGCCAGCCCGGCCCGACCCGCGGGGGGGACGGGGACCGGGGGGCACGGGCUUCUCUUCCUUCCCUGGACCGCCAGGAGUGGGAAGAACUGUUGUUUAAACUCGGUUUGAACCCAUGGCACGCCGGCUGGCUUUUUCCAAGAAGAAGAAAAACGCGGUUAAUGUGUCACCGGGUAUCCAGUCCAUUCAUAAAAAAAAAAAAAAAAAAAAAAAAAAANNNNNNNNNNNNNNNNNNNNNNNNNNNNNNNNNNNNNNNNNGCAGGGACCCCCAAAGGAGGCGGCUGCGGCGGGGGAUUUCCUCCCCCUCCCGCCCUGCCGGGCUCCUCCUCCCCAGACUGCGCGGCGUCGGGGCGGCGGGCGCACGGACGCGGACAAUCAAUAGCCACGGUCACAAAUUACCGCAGGAAGUGUUAGCUGCGCACCAGCUCCUAAACAAGAUCGAUGGCCUCCCGCUGCUGCACGGCCACGAAGGGCUCACCCACCUCCCUCCACCCCUCUCUUCACCCCUCUCUUCACCCCCGGCGGGCGAAUUCCGCCCGCUCGGGGAACGGGACGGGGGUGACAGUGCAGGGCGGCCGCGGUAUCACACACAAACCCACCCGGCGGUAGGGCCUGGCCCAAGCCCAGGUGAUGAGGGGAGGUCGCCCCGUUACCCGCGGUCCCUGGCUUGGGCGCGGGGCUGA
RNAcentral lists this long non-coding RNA (1011 nucleotides) under Parus major (Great Tit). RNAcentral describes it as "lncRNA (ENSPMJG00000012602.1)". The record is from RNAcentral. Lineage: Eukaryota; Metazoa; Chordata; Aves; Passeriformes; Paridae.